GGUAUAUAUAAAUGGAGAUGUGCAGACUGUCCCUUUAAGAGUCAUCAGAAGAACAAAUAUAUUAGACAUAUAAGAAUCCAUACUAAAUCUGAACCGUUUCUUUGUCCCCUCUGUCAGCAUAGAUCGGCGAGGAAAGACUAUUUGCAGAAACAUAUACAAAAGGUGCACUGUAGUAAAGGAUUAAGCCUGCAUGAUGUAGAAGUGAUGUAUCCAUAUAUGUAUAAUAUAGACGAGAAGUUAAACAUUAAACCACCAAUGAGUUACUCUAAACUUGAACUGGUGCAUACUACUGAUCUACAGAAUGGGGAUAUAAUAUCGAACCAGCACGUACAUUAUCAAAUAACAAAUCAAGGAUUAACUAACCAUACAAAUAUUCAAGUUGAGGAUACUGACGAAGCACUGAAUUUACAGAGAUAUGAACGUGGUGAAGAUUAUCACAGGUUUCCAGAUCUUGACUCUACUAGCUAGUUAGAUGGCAGAUUUUUAGUUUUUUAGUUCGAAAUAUUAUUCAUAAUUCACCCUACCAGCGGAUCCUCAUUCUUACCUUUGCUUUUUGCGUUUUUGCUUAUCUUCACCAGAUAGUUAGAUAGCAUAUUUCUUCAAUUAGAUAGACAUAUAUAGCUCUUUAUACUCUUCAUAGCCACUCCAUAGCAACCAUCAUACUUCAUUCUACCUGCUAGUUUGAAAGCAACCAUCAUACUGCAUUCUUCCUCUACCAGCUAGUAUGAUAGCAACAUUCAUACUUUAUUCCACCAGCUAGUUUGAUAGCAACCAUCAUACUUCACUCUACCAGCUAGCUUGAUAAAAACCAUCAUACUUUACUCUACCAGCUAGUUUGAUAGCCACAAUCAUUCUUCACUCUACCAGCUAGUUUGAUAGCAACAUUCAUACUUCACUCUACCAGCUAGUUUGAUGGUAACAUUCAUACUUCACUCUACCAGCUAGUUUGAUGGUAACAUUCAUACUUCACUCUACCUGCUAGUUUGAUAGUAACAUACAUACUUUACUCUACCAGCUAGCUUGAUAGUAACAUACAUACUUCACUCUACAAGCUAGCUUGAUAGCAACAUACAUACUUCGCUCUACCAGCUAGCUUGAUAGUAACAUUCAUACUUCACUCUACCAGCUAGCUUGAUAGUAUUAUACAUACUUCACUCUACCAGCUAGCUUUAUAGCAAUCAUCAUACUUCACUCUACCAGCUAGCUUGAUAGUAACAUUCAUACUUCACUCUACCAGCUAGCUUGAUAGCAACAUACAUACUUCACUCUACCAGCUAGCUUGAUAGUAACAUACUUCACUCCACCAGCUAGUUUGAUGCUUGUUUGAUUGCAACCAUCAUACUUCACUCUUCCAGAUAGCUUGAUAACAAUCUUCACACCUUCUACAUGCCAGUUUAAUAGCAUACCUUCAUUUUUCACUUUGAUUAAGUUAAAACAUGAAAAUAAAUAUUUAACAUUGAAA
Molecule: unclassified non-coding RNA, 1462 nt
Filed under: Eurytemora carolleeae
Lineage: Eukaryota; Metazoa; Arthropoda; Copepoda; Calanoida; Temoridae
Description: zinc finger and SCAN domain-containing protein 2
Source: RNAcentral